RNAcentral lists this ribosomal RNA (208 nucleotides) under uncultured bacterium. RNAcentral describes it as "partial 16S ribosomal RNA". It matches the Rfam family "Bacterial small subunit ribosomal RNA", at positions 568 to 775 of the family's 1533-position model. The record is from RNAcentral.
CGCGUAGGCGGUUUCUUAAGUCUGAUGUGAAAGCCUUCGGCUUAACCGGAGUAGUGCAUUGGAAACUGGGAGACUUGAGUGCAGAAGAGGAGAGUGGAACUCCAUGUGUAGCGGUGAAAUGCGUAGAUAUAUGGAAGAGCACCAGUGGCGAGAGCGGCUCUCUGGUCUGUAACUGACGCUGAGGUUCGAAAGCGUGGGUAGCAAACAG